GUGGAUUAGAUACCCUGGUAGUCCACGCCCUAAACGAUGAGUACUAAGUGUUGCCGUAAGGCAGUGCUGAAGUUAACGCAUUAAGUACUCCGCCUGAGUAGUACGUACGCAAGUAUGAAACUUAAAGGAAUUGACGGGAGCCCGCACAAGCGGUGGAGCAUGUUGUUUAAUUCGACGAUACGCGAAGAACCUUACCAGGUCUUGACAUCCUUCGCAAAGCUAUAGAGAUAUAGUGGAGGUUAGCGAAGAGACAGGUGGUGCACGGCUGUCGUCAACU
This 277-nucleotide ribosomal RNA is filed under the name uncultured bacterium. RNAcentral describes it as "partial 16S ribosomal RNA". It matches the Rfam family "Bacterial small subunit ribosomal RNA", at positions 773 to 1060 of the family's 1533-position model. The record is from RNAcentral.